UAAUUGAAGAGUUUGAUCAUGGCUCAGAUUGAACGCUGGCGGCAGGCCUAACACAUGCAAGUCGAGCGGUAACAGGGGAAGCUUGCUUCUCGCUGACGAGCGGCGGACGGGUGAGUAAUGUAUGGGGAUCUGCCCGAUAGAGGGGGAUAACUACUGGAAACGGUAGCUAAUACCGCAUAAUCUCUCAGGAGCAAAGCAGGGGAACUUCGGUCCUUGCGCUAUCGGAUGAACCCAUAUGGGAUUAGCUAGUAGGUGAGGUAAUGGCUCACCUAGGCGACGAUCCCUAGCUGGUCUGAGAGGAUGAUCAGCCACACUGGGACUGAGACACGGCCCAGACUCCUACGGGAGGCAGCAGUGGGGAAUAUUGCACAAUGGGCGCAAGC
This 383-nucleotide ribosomal RNA is filed under the name Providencia rettgeri. RNAcentral's name for it is "bacterial SSU rRNA". It matches the Rfam family "Bacterial small subunit ribosomal RNA", at positions 1 to 382 of the family's 1533-position model. The record is from RNAcentral. Lineage: Bacteria; Pseudomonadati; Pseudomonadota; Gammaproteobacteria; Enterobacterales; Morganellaceae.